This 254-nucleotide ribosomal RNA is filed under the name uncultured archaeon. RNAcentral describes it as "partial 16S ribosomal RNA". It matches the Rfam family "Archaeal small subunit ribosomal RNA", at positions 474 to 727 of the family's 1478-position model. The record is from RNAcentral.
UACUCGCGGUCCAAGUCGCAGCCAUUUUUAUUGGGUCUAAAACAUCCGUAGCUUGCUUUGUAAGUUUCCUGUGAAAUUCUAUAUCUUAAGUAUAGAGCGGGCAGGAAGUACUGCAAAGCUAGAGACUGGAAGACGUGAGAAGUACGAAUAAAGUAGCGGUAAAAUGUUUUAAUCUUAUUCGGACUCACAAUAGCGAAGGCAUCUCACGAGGACAGUUCUGACAGUAAGGGAUGAAGGCCAGGGGCGCAAAACGG